Molecule: ribosomal RNA, 1437 nt
Filed under: uncultured organism
Description: SSU rRNA
Rfam family: Bacterial small subunit ribosomal RNA
Source: RNAcentral
UUGAUGAACGCUAGCUACAGGCUUAACACAUGCAAGUCGAGGGGCAGCAUGGUCUUAGCUUGCUAAGGCCGAUGGCGACCGGCGCACGGGUGAGUAACACGUAUCCAACCUGCCGUCUACUCUUGGACAGCCUUCUGAAAGGAAGAUUAAUACAAGAUGGCAUCAUGAGUCCACAUGUUCACAUGAUUAAAGGUAUUCCGGUAGACGAUGGGGAUGCGUUCCAUUAGAUAGUAGGCGGGGUAACGGCCCACCUAGUCUUCGAUGGAUAGGGGUUCUGAGAGGAAGGUCCCCCACAUUGGAACUGAGACACGGUCCAAACUCCUACGGGAGGCAGCAGUGAGGAAUAUUGGUCAAUGGGCGAGAGCCUGAACCAGCCAAGUAGCGUGAAGGAUGACUGCCCUAUGGGUUGUAAACUUCUUUUAUAAAGGAAUAAAGUCGGGUAUGCAUACCCGUUUGCAUGUACUUUAUGAAUAAGGAUCGGCUAACUCCGUGCCAGCAGCCGCGGUAAUACGGAGGAUCCGAGCGUUAUCCGGAUUUAUUGGGUUUAAAGGGAGCGUAGAUGGAUGUUUAAGUCAGUUGUGAAAGUUUGCGGCUCAACCGUAAAAUUGCAGUUGAUACUGGAUAUCUUGAGUGCAGUUGAGGCAGGCGGAAUUCGUGGUGUAGCGGUGAAAUGCUUAGAUAUCACGAAGAACUCCGAUUGCGAAGGCAGCCUGCUAAGCUGCAACUGACAUUGAGGCUCGAAAGUGUGGGUAUCAAACAGGAUUAGAUACCCUGGUAGUCCACACGGUAAACGAUGAAUACUCGCUGUUUGCGAUAUACAGCAAGCGGCCAAGCGAAAGCGUUAAGUAUUCCACCUGGGGAGUACGCCGGCAACGGUGAAACUCAAAGGAAUUGACGGGGGCCCGCACAAGCGGAGGAACAUGUGGUUUAAUUCGAUGAUACGCGAGGAACCUUACCCGGGCUUAAAUUGCAGAUGAAUUACGGUGAAAGCCGUAAGCCGCAAGGCAUCUGUGAAGGUGCUGCAUGGUUGUCGUCAGCUCGUGCCGUGAGGUGUCGGCUUAAGUGCCAUAACGAGCGCAACCCUUGUUGUCAGUUACUAACAGGUCAUGCUGAGGACUCUGACAAGACUGCCAUCGUAAGAUGUGAGGAAGGUGGGGAUGACGUCAAAUCAGCACGGCCCUUACGUCCGGGGCUACACACGUGUUACAAUGGGGGGUACAGAGGGCCGCUACCACGCGAGUGGAUGCCAAUCCCAAAAACCUCUCUCAGUUCGGACUGGAGUCUGCAACCCGACUCCACGAAGCUGGAUUCGCUAGUAAUCGCGCAUCAGCCACGGCGCGGUGAAUACGUUCCCGGGCCUUGUACACACCGCCCGUCAAGCCAUGGGAGCCGGGGGUACCUGAAGUGCGUAACCGCGAGGAGCGCCCUAGGGUAAAA